This 218-nucleotide ribosomal RNA is filed under the name uncultured bacterium. Its description in RNAcentral is "partial 16S ribosomal RNA". It matches the Rfam family "Bacterial small subunit ribosomal RNA", at positions 118 to 351 of the family's 1533-position model. The record is from RNAcentral.
UGGGAACCUUCCCUAUGGUUCGGAAUAGCUCAGGGGAAACUUGGGGUAAUACCGGAUAAGCCCUUCGGGGGAAAGAUUUAUCGCCAUUGGAUGGGCCCGCGUCGGAUUAGCUAGUUGGUGAGGUAACGGCUCACCAAAGGCAACGAUCCGUAGCUGGUCUGAGAGGAUGAUCAGCCACACUGGGACUGAGACACGGCCCAGACUCCUACGGGAGGCAG